GGCGGCGUGCCUAACACAUGCAAGUCGUACGAGAAAGUUGGCUUCGGCCGAUGAGUAAAGUGGCGCACGGGUGAGUAAUGCGUGGAUAAUCUGCCCUUUAGUUGGGAAUAACGUACCGAAAGGUGCGCUAAUACCUGAUAAUACUGCAUAACUACUGUUGUGUAGUCAAAGAAGGCCUCUGUUUACAAGCUUUUGCUGAGGGAUGAGUCCGCGUACCAUUAGCUGGUUGGUGGGGUAAUGGCCUACCAAGGCUACGAUGGUUAGCUGGUCUGAGAGGAUGAUCAGCCACACUGGAACUGAGACACGGUCCAGACUCCUACGGGAGGCAGCAGUGAGGAAUAUUGCGCAAUGGGGGCAACCCUGACGCAGCAACGCCGCGUGAGUGAGGAAGGUUUUCGGACCGUAAAGCUCUGUCGAGCGGGAAGAAAUGUAUCAUGGCUAAUAUCCAUGAUACUUGACGGUACCGCUAAAGGAAGCACCGGCUAACUCCGUG
RNAcentral lists this ribosomal RNA (493 nucleotides) under uncultured bacterium. RNAcentral's name for it is "bacterial SSU rRNA". It matches the Rfam family "Bacterial small subunit ribosomal RNA", at positions 38 to 507 of the family's 1533-position model. The record is from RNAcentral.